GGCGAACGCUGGCGGCGUGCUUAACACAUGCAAGUCGAGCGGUAAGGCCCUUUCGGGGGUACGACGAGCGGCGAACGGGUGAGUAACACGUGGGUGACCUGCCCUUACGCUCUGGGAUAAGCCUGGGAAACGUGGGUCUAAUACCGGAUAUGACUCCAUAACGCAUGUUGUGGGGUGGAAAGCCUUGUGCGGCUAGGGAUGGGCCCGCGGCCUAUCAGCUUGUUGGUGGGGUGAUGGCCACCAAGGCGACGACGGGUAGCCGGCCUGAGAGGGCGACCGGCCACACUGGGACUGAGACACGGCCCAGACUCCUACGGGAGGCAGCAGUGGGGAAUCUUGCGCAAUGGGCGAAAGCCUGACGCAGCGACGCCGCGUGGGGA
RNAcentral lists this ribosomal RNA (380 nucleotides) under uncultured bacterium. Its description in RNAcentral is "bacterial SSU rRNA". It matches the Rfam family "Bacterial small subunit ribosomal RNA", at positions 28 to 407 of the family's 1533-position model. The record is from RNAcentral.